UAUCUCUGUAGAGUCUGCAUAUCAAUAAGCGGAGGAAAAGAAACUAACUAGGAUUCCCUCAGUAACGGCGAGUGAAGCGGGAAGAGCUCAAAUUUGAAAUCUUCAAGGUUCUACCUUGACGAAUUGUAGUUUAAAGAAGUGUUUUCUGUUGGAGUUUUGGUAAAAGUUCUUUGGAAUAGGACAUCAUAGAGGGUGAGAAUCCCGUAUUUGACCAUUAUUUCCAGCUUUGUGAUACACUUUCAAAGAGUCGGAUUGUUUGGGAAUGCAGUCCAAAAUGGGUGGUAAAUUUCAUCUAAAGCUAAAUACUGGCGAGAGACCGAUAGCGAACAAGUACCGUGAGGGAAAGAUGAAAAGAACUUUGAAAAGAGAGUUAAACAGUACGUGAAAUUGUCAAAAGGGAAGCGUUUGACACCAGUGUUGUUUUCUCGAAAAUCAAUUAAAAAAGUCAGGAUUUUGUAUUGUAAUUGACUUAUCAGCUUUACUGCUACUCUUUUCUUGUCUUUUUUAAUGCACUUUUCGUUUAACAAGUCAACAUCAAUUUCUUUUGUUGUAAAAGAGUCAUUGGAAGGUGGCUUUCACUUUCGGUGAAAGUGUUUAUAGCCUUUGGCCUCUGCAAUCGGAGAGAUUGAGGUCUGCAGCGUAGAUCCUUCGGGGUUAGAUACAGUUAGAUGCUAAGUUAUAGCCUUUUCAUAGACAACUUGUUGACUAUAAUCAUCAUGUAGCUUACUCGCUUAUGGCUAUUUUACCUACGCUUAGGAUGUUGAAGUCAUCGUAUCGCGC
Molecule: ribosomal RNA, 780 nt
Filed under: uncultured Neocallimastigales
Lineage: Eukaryota; Fungi; Neocallimastigomycota; Neocallimastigomycetes; Neocallimastigales
Description: partial large subunit ribosomal RNA
Rfam family: Eukaryotic large subunit ribosomal RNA
Source: RNAcentral